Molecule: ribosomal RNA, 791 nt
Filed under: marine metagenome
Description: bacterial SSU rRNA
Rfam family: Bacterial small subunit ribosomal RNA
Source: RNAcentral
GUGGUUAAAAAAGUUGGUGGUGAAAUCCCAGAGCUUAACUCUGGAACUGCCAUCAAAACUUUUUAGCUAGAGUAUGAUAGAGGAAAGCAGAAUUUCUAGUGUAGAGGUGAAAUUCGUAGAUAUUAGAAAGAAUACCAAUUGCGAAGGCAGCUUUCUGGAUCAUUACUGACACUGAGGAACGAAAGCAUGGGUAGCGAAGAGGAUUAGAUACCCUCGUAGUCCAUGCCGUAAACGAUGUGUGUUAGACGUUGGAAAUUUUUUUUCAGUGUCGCAGCGAAAGCAAUAAACACACCGCCUGGGGAGUACGACCGCAAGGUUAAAACUCAAAUGAAUUGACGGGGACCCGCACAAGUAGUGGAGCAUGUGGUUUAAUUCGAAGAUACGCGCAGAACCUUACCAACACUUGACAUGUUCGUCGCGACUUUAAGAGAUUAAAGUUUUCGGUUCGGCCGGACGAAACACAGGUGCUGCAUGGCUGUCGUCAGCUCGUGUCGUGAGAUGUUGGGUUAAGUCCCGCAACGAGCGCAACCCUUACUUUUAGUUGCCAUCAUUUAGUUGGGAACUCUGAAAGAACUGCCAGUGAUAAGCUGGAGGAAGGUGGGGAUGACGUCAAGUCCUCAUGGCCCUUACGUGUUGGGCUACACACGUGCUACAAUGGCAUCUACAAUAGGAAGCAAGACGGCGACGUCAAGCAAAUCCUAAAAAGAUGCCUCAGUUCGGAUUGUACUCUGCAACUCGAGUACAUGAAGCUGGAAUUACUAGUAAUCGCGGAUCAGCGUGCCGCGGUGAAU